This 462-nucleotide ribosomal RNA is filed under the name uncultured bacterium. Its description in RNAcentral is "bacterial SSU rRNA". It matches the Rfam family "Bacterial small subunit ribosomal RNA", at positions 28 to 526 of the family's 1533-position model. The record is from RNAcentral.
GACAAACGCUGGCGGCGUGCGUAAAACAUGCAAGUCGCACGGCCCCUUCGGGGGCAGUGGCAGACGGCUGAGUAACGCGUAGGAAUCUACCCUCCAGUGGGGAAUAACGGGCCGAAAGGUCCGCUAAUACCGCAUACGGUCGCGGGUAACCGCGAAGAAAGCCUUACGGUGCUGGAGGAGGAGCCUGCGUCCGAUUAGCUAGUUGGUGGGGUAAAGGCCUACCAAGGCAGUGAUCGGUAGCUGGUCUGAGAGGAUGAUCAGCCAGACUGGGACUGGGACACGGCCCAGACUCCUACGGGAGGCAGCAGUUAGGAAUUUUGGGCAAUGGCCGCAAGGCUGACCCAGCAACGCCGCGUGGGGGACGAAGGCUCUCGGGUCGUAAACCCCUUUUCCCAGGGACGAUGAUGACGGUACCUGGGGAAUAAGCCCCGGCUAACUACGUGCCAGCCGCCGCCGUAACAC